Long non-coding RNA from Pan troglodytes (chimpanzee), 3254 nucleotides. RefSeq lists it as uncharacterized. The transcript is spliced from 2 exons. NCBI's taxonomy places the organism in Eukaryota, Metazoa, Chordata, Mammalia, Primates, Hominidae. The record is from RefSeq and is a predicted model, not a curated record.
AACAACCUUUGUCAUAUUCUAUUGGUUAGAUACAAGUCACAGGUCCCACCCACAUUGAAGAGGAGGGGACAAUAAGAGUGUAAUGCCAGGAACAGGGAUCAUGUAGUAUCACCUUAGGUUCAAUAUGUCACCAUCACUCUCCUUACGUUCUCUUAGAUUCCCAAUUUUCUUAUCAGUAUUAUCAGGAUAUGACAGAAUGAUGGUCAGACAUCUUCCAUGAGUUCAGGCAGCACCAUUUCUAAUGAGCACUAUUAUGCCUUCCACAAAGGAACUCAUGGCCUGUUAUCAAGGUGACUGUGCAAUGAGGAAAAGAAAAUGAUGAAAUUUUUGGAGAGUUACUGACUGAACACCAGCUGUGAAUUGAUACUAAUUUCUGGAGACAAAACAUGAGUUUGUCCACCAGUCAGUGUCAGAGCUUAUGGAGGUCAGAAGAUCAAUGGAGUUUUAGCUUAGAUCCAUCUUAUAGUGACCCAGUGGGUCGCCAAACCCAUCCUGCAGUUACUUCUCUAGUUCCAGAAUAAACAAUUGGAUAGAAAUAGUCAGCAACUGGCAGAAUUCCCAUAUUGGUUUACUGACCUCUAAAGUGAGAGCUAUUAUAGUAAGAAAAUACCAAAAGGAAGCCAAUAGAACUGCCUCUACUUUGAAAAAUAGCAAAUUAAAACCAAUAUCUUAUUUCUGGAAGGAUUGCAAACAUUAAUGCCAACAUCAGGAUGCAGAGGUAACAAUUCCCACCGCACCCUCACUCAACUUGCCUAUUUGCCUGUGUGGAAAAGAGAUGGAUCUUGGAGAAUAACAACAGAUUAUCCAGGAACAGAAUCAAGUGAACUUAAAUUGCAGUUGCUGUUUCAGAUGUGAUUUAAUUGCUUGAGCAAAUUAACACAUCCCUUGGUACCUGGUGUGCAGCCAUCGAUUUGUCAAAUGCUUUUUUCUUGAUAUCUGAUAACAUAGACAAGCAGAAGCAGUUUGUCUAGCUGGCAAGGCCACCGAUAAACCUGCACUUGAACUCGCUUGAACUCGGGAGGCACUAUCCUGCCUCUAGGGUAUAUCAACUCUCUAAACUUAUAUUUAGUCCAUAUAAAUUAAUUCAGCUAAAAUUUAGUCCACGGGGACUUUGAUUGCCUUUCCCUUCUACAAGAUAUCACACGGGUCUAUUACAGACGAGUAUUAUGGCGAUUGGACCUGCGAAGCAGGAAACAGCAACUGCUGUAGACGUAGUUGUAAGACAAUUGCAUGUCCAAGGAUGAAAAAUGAAUCUAGAAAAAUGCCACGGCCUUCUACUUCAGUGAAAUUUCUGGGGGUCUAGUGGUGUACAGCAGGGCAAGUUAUCCCUUCUAAGAUGAAGGAUAAGUUGUUUCAUCUGGCUUCUCCUACAACUGCAAAAGAAGCACAACGCUUAUAAGGCCUCUUUAAAUUUUGGAGACAACACAUUCUUUAUUUGGGUAUGGUACUCCAGCAUUUACUGGGUGACUUGAAAAACUGCUAGUUUUAACUGAGGUGUAGAAAAAGAAAAGGCUCUGAAACAGGUCCAGUUUGCUGUGGAAACUGCUCUGCCACUUGGAUCAUAUGAUUCAGAAGAUGCAAUAGUGUUUGAUGUGUCAGCAGCAGAAAGAGAUAUUGUUUGAAGACUUUUGCACACUUACGGGGAAAUACAGUGGAUGCCUUAUAUUUUGGAGCAAAGCCCUGAAAUCCUCUGUGCAUUACUGCUCCCCUUUGGAGAAACAGUUUUUGGCUUGCUACCAAGCCUUAAACUGAACACUUAGCUAUGGGCAACCAAGUAACCAUAUGACCAGAACUUUCUCUCACAUAUUGGAUGUUGUCUGUUCUACAAGCCAUAAAGUUGGGAAUGCACAAAAAUAUUGCAUUAUUGUAUGUGGAAGUCCUAUACAUAAAAUUAGGCUUAAGUAGGCCCUGGAGGCACAAGUUUAAUCAGGAAGUGAGCCAAAUAUUCAUGAUGCCAAUUCUUGCUGCACUACUUACUCUGUCUCCUAGUCUGCAGAUAUGGCCUUAUAACCAGUUCCCUACAACUAGUUGACGGAGGAAGACAAAACUUGAGCUUGGUUUAGUGAUGGUUCUGCACAAUAUGCAGACACUACCCAAAAGUGGAUGGCUGAAGCACUAUAGCCCAUUGUGGACAUUCCUGAAGACAGUGGAGAAGGAAAACCAUCCCAGUGGGUGGAAAUUUGAGUAAUGUACCCAGUUGUUUAUUUACUCAGAAGGAGAAAUGGCCAGAGGUUUAAGACUAUAUUAAUUCAUAGGCUAUAGCUAAUGGGUUGGCUGAAAGAUCGGGGGCUUGGAAAAAACAUUGUUGGAAAAUUGCUGAGGUAUGUGGAUGGAGACCCUCUAAGUGGGCACCAAAUCUGAAGAUAUCUAUGUCUUAUGUAAAGGCCUACCACCGGUUGCUUCACUAGAGGAGGGUUUUAUUAAUCAAGUGAAUAGAAUGAUCCAUCCCGUCAAUACCAGUCAGCUUCAUUUCCCAGCCAUUCUUGUCAUUACCCAAUGGUGACAGUUACGCAUGGGCUUACCCAUGCAUGGGCUCAGCACUAUGUCUACUCACUAAGGCCAACCUUGCUAUGGCCACUGUUGAGUGCCCAGUCUACCAGCAGAAGAGACCAACACUGAGUGCUUUAUAUGGACUCAUUCGUUAAGGUAAUCAUCCAGGUAACCUAGUGGCAACUUAAUUACAUUGGACCACUUCCACCAUGAUACAGGUGGUGGUUUUUUCUUAAAGAAAUAGACACUUAGUCUGGAUAUGGAUUUGCCUUUCCUGAAUGCAGUGUUUCUGCCAAAACUAUGAGCUUACAGAAUGAUCAUAUUCCCUGCCAUUCUGAAGCAGCUAGCUUGAUAGAAUGAUGAAAUAACAUGGUGAAGACUCAGUUACAAUAAUAGUUGGGUGGAAAUAAAUUGAAAAACUGGGGCAGGGACUAUGGCAUCCUCCAGGAUGCUGUAUGUACUCUAAAUUAAUGUUCAAUAUAUGCUGCUAUUACUACCAUAGUCAUAAUUCAAAUAACCAAAAUUGAAGGCAGGAAAAUGGGAGUGGUUCCACUUACUAUUAGCCCUAGUGUUUUACCAGCAAAUUUUAAAAACAUCUCUAAGACCUUCAGUUUUGCUAGUCUAGAGAUUCUAGUUUUUAAGGAAUAAAUGGUUCUACCAGAAGACAAAACAUGAUCCCACUGAACUAGAAGUUGAGACUGCCACACCAACAGUUUGGAUUACUCAUGCCUCUGAAAGAACAAUAAAAGAAUGAGGUUACUAUA